This 526-nucleotide long non-coding RNA is filed under the name Capsella rubella. Its description in RNAcentral is "long non-coding RNA (CRUB_LNC002334)". The record is from RNAcentral. Lineage: Eukaryota; Viridiplantae; Streptophyta; Magnoliopsida; Brassicales; Brassicaceae.
UUUAAAGUUUAUUGUUCUUAUAAGCUCUUGGUUGGGACCUAAAAAUUGGUAUCAGAGCCUUCAUCUCGCUUUUGAUCCAGACCACUUUGUGGUAUCAAUAGCAACCUUCGUCCACUAUCUAUCUUGGUUUUGAUCCAGGCCACACUUGUGGUAUCAAACCCUAUUUUUAUCAUCUUUUUCAGUUUUGAUCCGGACCACAUUUUGUGGUAUCAAAAUCUAUAUCUUUCAUAUUUUCUUAUCAACAAAAAAUAUAUAUAGUUGUUGCGGGAAGCUAUCUUUUGAUUUUCUAGUCAGAGAAGAAGACGCUAGACAAAGAAGAUGGAAAGAAGCUAUCUAACAAGAUGUAUGAGGGAUCUCAUGAUCUAAUAAAACACACAUUGAUAAAACUAAUAAAAAUGUUAUUUACUGCAAGUUACAUCAAAUUAUAAUAUUUACUGCAACUCAAGUUCGAUAACUCAUGUUACCAGGAGCCAUUAUUGAUUGGUAACAUUUUUGAAUAAUCUUUUAGUUAAGUCCAUAACUCAAC